This 468-nucleotide ribosomal RNA is filed under the name uncultured organism. RNAcentral's name for it is "bacterial SSU rRNA". It matches the Rfam family "Bacterial small subunit ribosomal RNA", at positions 28 to 507 of the family's 1533-position model. The record is from RNAcentral.
GACGAACGCUGGCGGCGUGCCUAACACAUGCAAGUCGAACGGGGUCCAUGGGAGCUUGCUCCCGGAAGACCUAGUGGCGAACGGGUGAGUAACACGUGAGAAACCUGCCCUGGAGUGGGGAAUAACUCGGGGAAACUCGAGCUAAUACCGCAUACCCUCGGAUGGUCGCAUGGCCGACCGAGGAAAGAUUUAUCGCUUCAGGAGGGUCUCGCGGCCUAUCAGCUAGUUGGUGGGGUAACGGCCUACCAAGGCAACGACGGGUAGCUGGUUUGAGAGAACGAUCAGCCACACUGGGACUGAGACACGGCCCAGACUCCUACGGGAGGCAGCAGUGGGGAAUCUUGCGCAAUGGGCGAAAGCCUGACGCAGCAACGCCGCGUGCGGGAUGACGGCCUUCGUGGUUGUAAACCGCUUUCAGCAGGGACGAAAAUGACGGUACCUGCAGAAGAAGCCCCGGCUAACUACGUG